GCGAGCGUGGCGGAACGGCAGACGCGCUAGGUUCAGGACCUAGUGGGCUUAACGCCCGUGGAGGUUCAAGUCCUCUCGCUCGCACCA
This 87-nucleotide transfer RNA is filed under the name Bacillota bacterium. RNAcentral's name for it is "tRNA-Leu". It matches the Rfam family "tRNA". Rfam says of the family: Transfer RNA (tRNA) molecules are approximately 80 nucleotides in length. Their secondary structure includes four short double-helical elements and three loops (D, anti-codon, and T loops). Further hydrogen bonds mediate the characteristic L-shaped molecular structure. tRNAs have two regions of fundamental functional importance: the anti-codon, which is responsible for specific mRNA codon recognition, and the 3' end, to which the tRNAs corresponding amino acid is attached (by aminoacyl-tRNA synthetases). tRNAs cope with the degeneracy of the genetic code in two manners: having more than one tRNA (with a specific anti-codon) for a particular amino acid; and 'wobble' base-pairing, i.e. permitting non-standard base-pairing at the 3rd anti-codon position. The record is from RNAcentral. Lineage: Bacteria; Bacillati; Bacillota. RNAcentral also lists the same sequence under 1 other name.